UACGUAGGGGGCAAGCGUUGUCCGGAUUUAUUGGGCGUAAAGAGCGUGUAGGCGCCAGGGAGGUCCGUUGUGAAAACUCGAGGCUCAACCUCGAGACGCCGAUGGAAACCCCCUGGCUAGAGUCCGGAAGAGGAGAAUGGAAUUCCUGGUGUAGCGGUGAAAUGCGCAGAUAUCAGGAAGAACACCCGUGGCUAAGGCGGUUCUCUAGUACGGUACUGACGCUGAGACGCGAAAGCGUGGGGAGCGAACAGG
Molecule: ribosomal RNA, 252 nt
Filed under: uncultured bacterium
Lineage: Bacteria
Description: partial 16S ribosomal RNA
Rfam family: Bacterial small subunit ribosomal RNA
Source: RNAcentral